AGAAUCAACGCUGGCGGCGUGCCUAACACAUGCAAGUCGCACGAGAAAGGGUAGCAAUACCUGAGUAAAGUGGCGCACGGGUGAGUAACACGUGAAUAAUCUACCUCCGAGUGGGGAAUAACUGAGAGAAAUCUUAGCUAAUACCGCAUAACACUUACGAGUCAAAGCAGUAAUGCGCUUGGAGAGGAGUUCGCGGCAGAUUAGCUAGUUGGCGGGGUAAUGGCCACCAAGGCGAUGAUCUGUAUCCGGCCUGAGAGGGCGCACGGACACACUGGAACUGAAACACGGUCCAGACUCCUACGGGAGGCAGCAGUGGGGAAUUUUGCGCAAUGGGGGAAACCCUGACGCAGCAACGCCGCGUGGAGGAUGAAAUCCCUUGGGAUGUAAACUCCUUUCGAUAGGGAAGAUAAUGACGGUACCUAUAGAAGAAGCCCCGGCUAACUUCGCGCCAGCAGCCGC
This 459-nucleotide ribosomal RNA is filed under the name uncultured bacterium. Its description in RNAcentral is "SSU rRNA". It matches the Rfam family "Bacterial small subunit ribosomal RNA", at positions 26 to 518 of the family's 1533-position model. The record is from RNAcentral.